This 439-nucleotide ribosomal RNA is filed under the name uncultured bacterium. RNAcentral describes it as "partial 16S ribosomal RNA". It matches the Rfam family "Bacterial small subunit ribosomal RNA", at positions 338 to 795 of the family's 1533-position model. The record is from RNAcentral.
CCUACGGGAGGCAGCAGUGAGGAAUAUUGGUCAAUGGGGGGAACCCUGAUGCAGCGACGCCGCGUGGGGGAAGAAGCGCCUCGGCGCGUAAAGCCCUGUCAGCAGGGAAGAAAAUGACGGUACCUGAAGAAGAAGCCCCGGCUAACUACGUGCCAGCAGCCGCGGUAAUACGGAGGAUGCGAGCGUUAUCCGGAUUUAUUGGGUUUAAAGGGUGCGCAGGCGGAUUUUUAGGUCAGCGGUAAAAUCGUGGGGCUAAACCCCAUCCAGCCGUUGAAACUGGGGAUCUAGAGUGUGCGAGAGGUAUGCGGAAUGCGUGGUGUAGCGGUGAAAUGCAUAGAUAUCACGAAGAACCCCGAUUGCGAAGGCAGCAUACCGGUGUACAACUGACGCUCAGGCACGAAAGCGUGGGUAUCGAACAGGAUUAGAUACCCUUGUAGUC